UUAAAUUGAAGAGUUUGAUCAUGGCUCAGAUUGAACGCUGGCGGCAGGCCUAACACAUGCAAGUCGAACGGUAACAGGAAACAGCUUGCUGUUUCGCUGACGAGUGGCGGACGGGUGAGUAAUGUCUGGGAAACUGCCUGAUGGAGGGGGAUAACUACUGGAAACGGUAGCUAAUACCGCAUAACGUCGCAAGACCAAAGAGGGGGACCUUCGGGCCUCUUGCCAUCGGAUGUGCCCAGAUGGGAUUAGCUAGUAGGUGGGGUAACGGCUCACCUAGGCGACGAUCCCUAGCUGGUCUGAGAGGAUGACCAGCCACACUGGAACUGAGACACGGUCCAGACUCCUACGGGAGGCAGCAGUGGGGAAUAUUGCACAAUGGGCGCAAGCCUGAUGCAGCCAUGCCGCGUGUAUGAAGAAGGCCUUCGGGUUGUAAAGUACUUUCAGCGGGGAGGAAGGGAGUAAAGUUAAUACCUUUGCUCAUUGACGUUACCCGCAGAAGAAGCACCGGCUAACUCCGUGCCAGCAGCCGCGGUAAUACGGAGGGUGCAAGCGUUAAUCGGAAUUACUGGGCGUAAAGCGCACGCAGGCGGUUUGUUAAGUCAGAUGUGAAAUCCCCGGGCUCAACCUGGGAACUGCAUCUGAUACUGGCAAGCUUGAGUCUCGUAGAGGGGGGUAGAAUUCCAGGUGUAGCGGUGAAAUGCGUAGAGAUCUGGAGGAAUACCGGUGGCGAAGGCGGCCCCCUGGACGAAGACUGACGCUCAGGUGCGAAAGCGUGGGGAGCAAACAGGAUUAGAUACCCUGGUAGUCCACGCCGUAAACGAUGUCGACUUGGAGGUUGUGCCCUUGAGGCGUGGCUUCCGGAGCUAACGCGUUAAGUCGACCGCCUGGGGAGUACGGCCGCAAGGUUAAAACUCAAAUGAAUUGACGGGGGCCCACACAAGCGGUGGAGCAUGUGGUUUAAUUCGAUGCAACGCGAAGAACCUUACCUGGUCUUGACAUCCACAGAACUUUCCAGAGAUGGAUUGGUGCCUUCGGGAACUGUGAGACAGGUGCUGCAUGGCUGUCGUCAGCUCGUGUUGUGAAAUGUUGGGUUAAGUCCCGCAACGAGCGCAACCCUUAUCCUUUGUUGCCAGCGGUCCGGCCGGGAACUCAAAGGAGACUGCCAGUGAUAAACUGGAGGAAGGUGGGGAUGACGUCAAGUCAUCAUGGCCCUUACGACCAGGGCUACACACGUGCUACAAUGGCGCAUACAAAGAGAAGCGACCUCGCGAGAGCAAGCGGACCUCAUAAAGUGCGUCGUAGUCCGGAUUGGAGUCUGCAACUCGACUCCAUGAAGUCGGAAUCGCUAGUAAUCGUGGAUCAGAAUGCCACGGUGAAUACGUUCCCGGGCCUUGUACACACCGCCCGUCACACCAUGGGAGUGGGUUGCAAAAGAAGUAGGUAGCUUAACCUUCGGGAGGGCGCUUACCACUUUGUGAUUCAUGACUGGGGUGAAGUCGUAACAAGGUAACCGUAGGGGAACCUGCGGUUGGAUCACCUCCUUACCUUAAAGAAGC
RNAcentral lists this ribosomal RNA (1556 nucleotides) under Escherichia coli. RNAcentral's name for it is "bacterial SSU rRNA". It matches the Rfam family "Bacterial small subunit ribosomal RNA". Lineage: Bacteria; Pseudomonadati; Pseudomonadota; Gammaproteobacteria; Enterobacterales; Enterobacteriaceae. The record is from RNAcentral.